Molecule: ribosomal RNA, 1327 nt
Filed under: Salmonella enterica subsp. enterica serovar Typhimurium
Lineage: Bacteria; Pseudomonadati; Pseudomonadota; Gammaproteobacteria; Enterobacterales; Enterobacteriaceae
Description: partial 23S ribosomal RNA
Rfam family: Bacterial large subunit ribosomal RNA
Source: RNAcentral
GCUGUGAGCUCGAUGAGUAGGGCGGGACACGUGGUAUCCUGUCUGAAUAUGGGGGGACCAUCCUCCAAGGCUAAAUACUCCUGACUGACCGAUAGUGAACCAGUACCGUGAGGGAAAGGCGAAAAGAACCCCGGCGAGGGGAGUGAAAAAGAACCUGAAACCGUGUACGUACAAGCAGUGGGAGCACAGGUUUACCUGUGUGACUGCGUACCUUUUGUAUAAUGGGUCAGCGACUUAUAUUCUGUAGCAAGGUUAACCGUAUAGGGGAGCCGUAGGGAAACCGAGUCUUAACCGGGCGUUAAGUUGCAGGGUAUAGACCCGAAACCCGGUGAUCUAGCCAUGGGCAGGUUGAAGGUUGGGUAACACUAACUGGAGGACCGAACCGACUAAUGUUGAAAAAUUAGCGGAUGACCUGUGGCUGGGGGUGAAAGGCCAAUCAAACCGGGAGAUAGCUGGUUCUCCCCGAAAGCUAUUUAGGUAGCGCCUCGUGAAUUCAUCUCCGGGGGUAGAGCACUGUUUCGGCUAGGGGGCCAUCCCGGCUUACCAACCCGAUGCAAACUGCGAAUACCGGAGAAUGUUAUCACGGGAGACACACGGCGGGUGCUAACGUCCGUCGUGAAGAGGGAAACAACCCAGACCGCCAGCUAAGGUCCCAAAGUCAUGGUUAAGUGGGAAACGAUGUGGGAAGGCCCAGACAGCCAGGAUGUUGGCUUAGAAGCAGCCAUCAUUUAAAGAAAGCGUAAUAGCUCACUGGUCGAGUCGGCCUGCGCGGAAGAUGUAACGGGGCUAAACCAUGCACCGAAGCUGCGGCAGCGAACGUAUCACCCAAGACAACUUUACGGAGUUGACGAUUGACGGAGCGAAGCGACGUCAAAGCGUUCAUUAAAGUCGAGUUGGCUUAGGGAUACGUUCGUUGGGUAGGGGAGCGUUCUGUAAGCCUGUGAAGGUGUGUCGUGAGGCAUGCUGGAGGUAUCAGAAGUGCGAAUGCUGACAUAAGUAACGAUAAAGCGGGUGAAAAGCCCGCUCGCCGGAAGACCAAGGGUUCCUGUCCAACGUUAAUCGGGGCAGGGUGAGUCGACCCCUAAGGCGAGGCCGAAAGGCGUAGUCGAUGGGAAACGGGUUAAUAUUCCCGUACUUGGUGUUACUGCGAAGGGGGGACGGAGAAGGCUAUGUUGGCCGGGCGACGGUUGUCCCGGUUUAAGCGUGUAGGUGUGUGUUCCAGGUAAAUCCGGUUCACUUUAACACUGAGGCGUGACGACGAGGCACUACGGUGCUGAAGCAACAAAUGCCCUGCUUCCAGGAAAAGCCUCUAAGCAUCAGGUAACAC